This 1281-nucleotide long non-coding RNA is filed under the name Ananas comosus (pineapple). RNAcentral describes it as "long non-coding RNA (ACOM_LNC034769)". The record is from RNAcentral. Lineage: Eukaryota; Viridiplantae; Streptophyta; Magnoliopsida; Poales; Bromeliaceae.
GCGAUUUCGAAGCCGUUUUACUUCCCGAGCUAGGAUUCUCACUGGAUGCUCCUCAAAGCUUAAAUCCUCUCGUAAAUCCACUGGAGUACUCUCCAAAAUGUGAGUUGGAUCAAAGAUAUACUUCCGCAAAGUAGAUACAUGAAACACAUUAUGUACUCCUGAGAGAUUCGGCGGCAAAGCAAGCCGAUAUGCUACGGGGCCUACCCUCUCCAAUACUUCGUAAGGCCCAAUAAAUCGAGGACUCAACUUCCCUCGAAUGCCAAAUCUUUUAACUCCUUUCGUCGGUGAAACCUUUAGAAAUACAUGAUCGCCAAUUUGAAAUUCCAGUUUUCGCCGACGUUUGUCCGCAUAACUCUUUUGUCGACUUUGUGCUGUCAGUAGACGUUCUCGUGCCAGUCGAACUUUAGCUUCAGCUUCUUGUAAUACGUCUGGACCCAAAACCAAUCUUUCUCCCACUUCGCUCCAAUGAAGUGGUGAUCUGCACUUUCUACCAUAAAGGGCCUCAAAAGGUGCCAUCUGAAUGCUUGCUUGAUAACUAUUGUUAUAAGCAAAUUCAGCCAUCGGUAGAAACUGUGGCCAACUGCCCUGGUAGUCAAUCACACAGGCCCGCAACAUAUCCUCAAGGGUCUGGAUAGUACGUUCGGACUGCCCAUCACUCUGGGGGUGGAAAGCAGUACUAAAAUCUAAUCGAGUACCCAUGGCCUCUUGUAAACUCUUCCAAAAAUGUGAAACGAAUCGGGUGUCUCGAUCUGAAACAAUCGAAGCAGGUACUCCGUGUAAUCGCACAAUUUCAUCAAGAUACACUUAUGCGAGUUUUUCCCCCGACCACACUGUAUGAAUUGGAAUAAAGUGGGCAGAUUUAGUCAAUCUAUCCACAAUUACCCAAAUGGCAUCGUGACCUGCUUGUGAGCGAGGUAAUCCAACGAUGAAAUCCAUAGUGAUCCUCUCCCACUUCCACACUGGUAUGGGUAAGCUCUGAAGUUUCCCCGCAGGAAGUCGAUGUUCAGCUUUAACCUGCUGACAUGUUAAGCACUUAGCCACGAAGUCCGCAACUUCUUUUUUCAUUCCAGGCCACCAGUAAGUUGACUUCAAAUCCUUAUACAUUUUCGUACUCCCCGGGUGUACAGUAUACGGUGUCCGAUGUGCUUCUGAUAGAAUCUCUUCUUUAAUACCCGAAUCUGCCGGUACACAGAGCCUAUCACCGAAUUUCAACAAUCCCUGAUCAUCUACUCGAAAAUCACUAUCAUGAUCAACAGUGAUCUUAUCUCGAAUCUUUUGCAG